GACGAACGCUGGCGGCGUGCUUAACACAUGCAAGUCGAACGGAAAGGCCCUGCUUUUGUGGGGUGCUCGAGUGGCGAACGGGUGAGUAACACGUGAGUAACCUGCCCUUGACUUUGGGAUAACUUCAGGAAACUGGGGCUAAUACCGGAUAGGAGCUCCUGCUGCAUGGUGGGGGUUGGAAAGUUUCGGCGGUUGGGGAUGGACUCGCGGCUUAUCAGCUUGUUGGUGGGGUAGUGGCUUACCAAGGCUUUGACGGGUAGCCGGCCUGAGAGGGUGACCGGCAACAACGGGAGUGAUAGAAGGCCAAGAAUCUCACGUGACGCAAGUGGGUGGAGUAAAGCAAGAUGGGCGGAAGCCUGAUGCAGCAACGCCGAUUGCGGGAAGACGGUCGUGGGGGUGUAAGCCGAAUCCGCGAGUGACGCAGCAUGAGUGUCGGCAGGGGGUAAAGAAAGGACGGCAACAUACGUG
This 468-nucleotide ribosomal RNA is filed under the name uncultured bacterium. Its description in RNAcentral is "partial 16S ribosomal RNA". It matches the Rfam family "Bacterial small subunit ribosomal RNA", at positions 28 to 507 of the family's 1533-position model. The record is from RNAcentral.